Molecule: ribosomal RNA, 102 nt
Filed under: Petromyzon marinus (sea lamprey)
Lineage: Eukaryota; Metazoa; Chordata; Hyperoartia; Petromyzontiformes; Petromyzontidae
Source: RNAcentral
GAAUAUGCCCAGAUUAUUUUCAGCGCACAGAAGCUAAGCGGAAUUAGAGCCUGGUUAGCACUUGUAUGGGAGACUGCCAAGGAAUAUCAUGUAUUGUAGGCU